Molecule: ribosomal RNA, 423 nt
Filed under: uncultured bacterium
Lineage: Bacteria
Description: bacterial SSU rRNA
Rfam family: Bacterial small subunit ribosomal RNA
Source: RNAcentral
UAGGGAAUAUUGGGCAAUGGCCGAGAGGCUGACCCAGCCAUGCCGCGUGCAGGAAGAAGGCCUUCUGGGUUGUAAACUGCUUUUAUCAGGGAAGAAAACGCUCUUGCGAGAGUAACUGACGGUACCUGAUGAAUAAGCACCGGCUAACUCCGUGCCAGCAGCCGCGGUAAUACGGAGGGUGCAAGCGUUGUCCGGAUUUAUUGGGUUUAAAGGGUGCGUAGGCGGCCCGUUAAGUCAGCGGUGAAAUCCCAGGGCUCAACCCUGGAACUGCCGUUGAUACUGGCGGGCUUGAGUUCGGUCGAGGCGGGCGGAACUGGUGGUGUAGCGGUGAAAUGCAUAGAUACCACCAAGAACCCCGAUUGCGUAGGCAGCUCGCUAGGCCGAAACUGACGCUGAGGCACGAAAGCGUGGGGAGCGAACAGG